RNA transcript from Salvia splendens (bonfire salvia), 1473 nucleotides. It is a transcript of the gene named pseudouridine-5'-phosphate glycosidase, with no coding region annotated. The transcript has 13 exons. The record is from RefSeq and is a predicted model, not a curated record. Lineage: Eukaryota; Viridiplantae; Streptophyta; Magnoliopsida; Lamiales; Lamiaceae.
AAUUAAUUGCGAAUAAAUCAAAGAGACUUCUCUGAAACAGAGUGGAACACAGCAUUGAAAGAGAAGAGAAAUGGCGUCGUGGGCUCUCUCUAGAAUCAGCAACCUCCAAAAACACUUAAGCCCCAAUAUUCCCUCUCCAAAGGGUGAAGGGCUAGUUAAGAUAUCACCAGAAGUUUCAGAAGCUCUGUCGCUAGGGAAACCGGUGGUUGCUCUUGAAUCUACUAUAAUUUCUCAUGGAAUGCCAUAUCCUCAAAAUUUGGAAACAGCUAAGGAGGUUGAGGCUAUAGUAAGACAGAAUGGAGCUAUACCUGCCACUAUUGCUAUUUUGGAUGGUGUACCUUGCAUAGGUUUAUCUCCAGAAGAACUUGAAAGGCUUGCUACAAUAGGAAGAAAAGCUCGAAAGACAGCUCGCAGAGACAUUGCACAUGUUGUUGCCACGGGAGGGAAUGGUGCCACUACUGUUUCAGCAACGAUGUUUUUUGCAUCCAUGGUUGGGAUCCCAAUAUUUGUUACUGGUGGUAUUGGGGGAGUUCAUAGACAUGGAGAGAGUACUAUGGAUAUUUCUUCUGAUCUUGUGGAGUUGGGAAGGACGCCCGUUGCUGUAGUUUCCGCUGGUGUGAAAUCAAUAUUAGAUAUUCCUAGAACGCUGGAAUAUUUGGAAACUCAAGGAGUUUGCGCUGCUGCAUAUCAGACCAGUGAGUUUCCUGCCUUCUUCACUGAAAAGAGUGGCUGCAAGGCACCCUGUCGUGUUGACUCGCCCGAGGAAUGUGCUCGAUUAAUAGAAGCACACAACAGUCUUAUGCUGGGGACUGGAAUUCUUAUAUCAGUCCCUAUUCCAAGCAAAUAUUCUGCCUCAGGAAACUUUAUUGAGUCAGCGAUACAGAAAGCUCUAAAGGAUGCUCGGGAGCAGAAUAUUACUGGCAGCAGUGAAACUCCGUUUUUGCUUGCUAGAGUGAACGAGCUGACUGGGGGAGCCUCCCUCUCUGCAAGUAUUCUUUGUCAAAUUCCGUCAUCUUCAUAACCAAAUACACAGAUAAAUAGAGACUAAAAGUGCUACUAGACAUUGCUCUUGUGAAAAAUAAUGCAUGUGUAGGCGCUCAGAUUGCAGUCUCUCUCUCUCAGCUGCGCCAAGAAAGUUAUGAAGGUACCUAACGGUGUAGAGGUGAGGUCGAUUGGAGAAGCUAACAACUCCCUUUACCAAAUGAAGUUUUCUAUUUACCACACCCACAAUUCUUAUAGUAGCUCAGUGUCAUUUGUCUCCUUUACAAGGAGAUAGAUAUCUCCAUGACUCCAACUACAAGCUGUCGAUGGCUAUAUCCUUCGCGAAAUGAACGACAACGAUUCUACCAGAUUUAGGGUUGUGAAAAAUUUGGCAAAACACAUCUAUAAAAGUCCUUAUGCUUUGUAGUACUUUAUUAGUACAUUAAAUCCUUGUACAAUUUUUUUUGUGUUUUAAUAAAUCCUUUUUAGUUA